CACGUGAGAAUUUACCUUUAGGAGGGGGAUAACAAUUGGGAACGAAAUGCUAAUACCCACUAUGCUUUCGUAGUGAAAUAGGAUUUAUUAAUUUAUUCGCCUAGAGAGAAGCUCGCGGCUGAUUAGCUUGUUGGUAAGGUAAGAGCUUACCAAGGCGACGAUCAGUAUCUGGUUUGAGAGGACGAUCAGACACACUGGAACUGAGACACGGUCCAGACUCCUACGGGAGGCAGCAGUGGGGAAUAUUGGACAAUGGGCGCAAGCCUGAUCCAGCAAUACCUCGUGUGUGAAGAAGGCCUU
Molecule: ribosomal RNA, 300 nt
Filed under: uncultured bacterium
Lineage: Bacteria
Description: bacterial SSU rRNA
Rfam family: Bacterial small subunit ribosomal RNA
Source: RNAcentral